RNAcentral lists this ribosomal RNA (483 nucleotides) under uncultured bacterium. RNAcentral's name for it is "partial 16S ribosomal RNA". It matches the Rfam family "Bacterial small subunit ribosomal RNA", at positions 28 to 507 of the family's 1533-position model. The record is from RNAcentral.
GACGAACGCUGGCGGCGUGCUUAACACAUGCAAGUCGAACGCUGAAGCUCAGCUUUUGUUGGGUGGAUGAGUGGCGAACGGGUGAGUAACACGUGAGUAACCUGCCCCCUUCUUUGGGAUAACGCCCGGAAACGGGUGCUAAUACUGGAUAUUCACUGGUCUUCGCAUGGGGGUUGGUGGAAAGGGUUUUUCUGGUGGGGGAUGGGCUCGCGGCCUAUCAGCUUGUUGGUGGGGUGAUGGCCUACCAAGGCUUUGACGGGUAGCCGGCCUGAGAGGGUGACCGGUCACAUUGGGGCUGAGAUACGGCCCAGACUCCUACAGGAGGCAGCAGUGGGGAAUAUUGCACAAUGGGCGCAAGCCUGAUGCAGCGACGCCGCGUGAGGGAUGGAGGCCUUCGGGUUGUGAACCUCUUUCGCUCAUGGUCAAGCCGCAACAAUGGUUGUGGUGAGGGUAGUGGGUAAAGAAGCGCCGGCUAACUACGUG